AGGGCGGCGGGUGGAUGCCUUGGGGCCAGAAGCCGAUGAAGGGCGCGGCGCACAGCGAAAUGCCUCGGGGAGCGGCGAGCACGCGUUGAUCCGAGGGUGCCCGAAUGGGGAAACCCGGCCUCCGUCAUGGGAGGUCAUCCCGGCAUUGCCGGGAAGGUAAGCAGGGGAACUGAAACAUCUUAGUACCCUGAGGAAGAGAAAUCAACCGAGAUACCGUCAGUAGCGGCGAGCGAAAGCGGCACAGCCUAAACGUCCCGCGUGUCAAGCCUGUCGGCGUUGCGCGGGACGGGUCACGGGAGUCGGCGGGAGCGACGACAGGCGCUCCACCCAGUCAGAAACCAUUGCACCACGCGAACCCGGCUGGAAAGCCGGACCAGAGACGGUGAUAGUCCGGUAGCGGACCGUGCAAUGGCUGGGGCCGGCCACCCAAGUACCCCGGGACACGAGAAACCCUGGGGGAAUUCGGGGGGACCACCCUCCAAGGCUAAAUACUUCUGGCCACCGAUAGUGAACCAGUACCGUGAGGGAAAGGUGAAAAGCACCCCGGGAGGGGAGUGAAAGAGAACCUGAAACCCGUCGUCUACAAGCAGUCGAAGCGCUAUAGGUUCGUCCUAGCGCGACGGCGUGCCUUUUGCAGAAUGAACCGGCGAGUCACGUUUACGGGCUAGGUUAAGGACGGGAACGUCCGGAGCCGUAGGGAAACCGAGUCUGAACAGGGCGCUGCGGCAACGCAGGUCCGUGAGCGUGGACCCGAAACCAGGUGAUCUACCCAUGGCCAGGUUGAAGGUCGGAUAGUCUCCGACUGGAGGACCGCACCGGUGUCGGUUGAAGACGGCUCGGAUGAGCUGUGGGUAGCGGAGAAAUUCCAAUCGAACCUGGAGAUAGCUGGUUCUCCCCGAAAUGCAUUUAGGUGCAGCCUCACAUGUUUCGUCUCGGAGGUAGAGCACUGGAUGGCCGAGGGGCCUUACCGGGUUACCGAAGUCAACCAAACUCCGAAUGCCGCGACGUGAAGUGUGGGAGUGAGACGGUGGGGGAUAAGCUCCAUCGUCAAAAGGGAAACAGCCCAGACCCUCUGCUAAGGUCCCUAAACCGGGCUAAGUGUAAAAGGAAGUGGGAGCACGCAGACAGCCAGGAUGUUGGCUUAGAAGCAGCCACCAUUGAAAGAGUGCGUAACAGCUUACUGGCCGAAUGUGGUCCUGCGCCGAUAAUGUAAGGGGGCUCACGCCCGGUACCGAAGCAAGGGAGUCCGUCUUCGGACGGAUUGGUAGGGGAGCGUUCCGUAGUAGGUUGAAGCGGUACCGCAAGGAGCCGUGGACGAGGCGGAAGUGAGAAUGCCGGUAUAAGUAGCGAGAAGACGGGUGAGAAUCCCGUCCGCCGAAAGCCUAAGGGUUCUUCAGGCAGGCUCGUCCUCUGGAGGUUAGUCGGUCCUAAGGCGUACCCGAACGGGGAAGUCGAUGGCUGCACGGUAGAUAUUCCGUGACCGGACGCAGUUCGUUAUGAGCGAUGGGGGGACGCGGCGCGAAGGUUACCGCCCGGGAUUGGAAGUCCGGGUUCUCUUACAGCCAGGGGCGAUAGGCAAAUCCGUCGCCCGCUGACUGGCGGUGAGAGAGGGAGCGAAGGGGUAACACCUGACGUGAACGGGACUGGGGCGCCGCCGAGAAAAGCCUCUAGCCAGAACUGCGCCGACCGUACCGCAAACCGACACCGGUAGGCGGGUAGAGGAUACCCAGGCGCGCGAGAGAACCCUCGUUAAGGAACUAGGCAAGCUGACCCCGUAACUUCGGGAGAAGGGGUGCCUCGGAAGGGGGAGGCUGACACGCCGAACUCAACCGAGGUCGCAGUGACAGGGCUCGAGCGACUGUUUAACAAAAACACAGGUCUCUGCUAAGUCGAAAGACGCAGUAUAGGGGCUGACGCCUGCCCAACGCCAGAAGGUUAAAGGGAGCGGUUCGGCCGCAAGGCCAAAGCUGCGAACUGAAGCCCUGGUGAGUGGCGGCCGUAACUAUAACGGUCCUAAGGUAGCGAAAUUCCUUGUCGGGUAAGUUCCGACCUGCACGAAUGGCGUAACGACUUGAGCGCUGUCUCAACGAGAGACUCGGUGAAAUUGUAGCAUGCGUGAAGAUGCGCAUUUCCCACGAUAGGACGGAAAGACCCCGUGGAGCUUUACUACACCCUGCUAUUGUGUUCUCUGCUGGUCUGUAGAGCGUAGGUGGGAGCCGCAAGGCGCCAAUGGAACACCACCCUGGCCAGUGGGGAGCACUAACCGGAGCCAACACUUCGAGACCGUAGCAGGCGGGUAGUUUGACUGGGGCGGUCGCCUCCCAAAACGUAACGGAGGCGUCCAAAGGUUCCCUCAGCCUGGUUAGAAAUCAGGCCUAGCGAGUAUAAGGGCACAAGGGAGCUUGACGGUGAGACCUACAGGUCGAGCCGGGACGAAAGUCGGGCCUAGUGACCCUCUGGUGGUAUGUGGAAACGCCAGGGCUUAACGGAUAAAAGUUACCCCGGGGAUAACAGGCUUAUCUUGCCCAAGCGCUCACAGCGACGGCAAGGUUUGGCACCUCGAUGUCGGCUCGUCGCAUCCUGGGGCUGGAUUAGGUCCCAAGGGUUAGGCUGUUCGCCUAUUAAAGCGGUACGCGAGCUGGGUUCAGAACGUCGUGAGACAGUUCGGUCCCUAUCCAUCGUGGGCGGAAGAGGGUUGAGGGGAGCUGCUCCUAGUACGAGAGG
This 2724-nucleotide ribosomal RNA is filed under the name sediment metagenome. RNAcentral describes it as "bacterial LSU rRNA". It matches the Rfam family "Bacterial large subunit ribosomal RNA". The record is from RNAcentral.